This 406-nucleotide unclassified non-coding RNA is filed under the name Hevea brasiliensis (rubber tree). The record is from RNAcentral. Lineage: Eukaryota; Viridiplantae; Streptophyta; Magnoliopsida; Malpighiales; Euphorbiaceae.
CUCCAAAAAAUAUCCUCUUGAGCCCAAAUUGGAGCGCAUUCAAGUAAGCAAUCUGCCCAAUAUUAUUUGAAAUCAUUCUAAGAAGAGACCGGGCGACGUCUUCAGGUUUGUAAUCUUCAAGCUCUUUAUAGUCAGAAACAGCCUUCCCAAAGCUUGAUGCAAUAGUUGUUGAUGAAAGGCCAAUCUUUGAAUAAUCCAUUCCACCAUAGAUGUCUCCGACAAGCAUGUCUAUCACUCGGUUAUUUCCCCUAUAACUUAGCUCCAACAAUUCAUCAAAACUCUUGCAUUUUGUUAGUAACCUUCCCAAACCCCAAAAGGUGCCACCUCCAACAUUUGUUCCGCUAACUCGUUCAAAUUUGCCAUCUCCAUCCACCUUAAUCAUGCUAACACCAGAUCCUAUAUUCAC